GACGAACGCUGGCGGCGUGCUUAACACAUGCAAGUCGAACGAAGAGCGAUGGAAGCUUGCUUCUAUCAAUCUUAGUGGCGAACGGGUGAGUAACGCGUAAUCAACCUGCCCUUCAGAGGGGGACAACAGUUGGAAACGACUGCUAAUACCGCAUACGAUCUAAUCUCGGCAUCGAGGAUAGAUGAAAGGUGGCCUCUACAUGUAAGCUAUCACUGAAGGAGGGGAUUGCGUCUGAUUAGCUAGUUGGAGGGGUAACGGCCCACCAAGGCGAUGAUCAGUAGCCGGUCUGAGAGGAUGAACGGCCACAUUGGGACUGAGACACGGCCCAGACUCCUACGGGAGGCAGCAGUGGGGAAUCUUCCGCAAUAGACGAAAGUCUGACGGAGCAACGCCGCGUGAGUGAUGACGGCCUUCGGGUUGUAAAGCUCUGUUAAUCGGGACGAAAGGCCUUCUUGCGAAUAGUGAGAAGGAUUGACGGUACCGGAGUAGAAAGCCACGGCUAACUACGUG
Molecule: ribosomal RNA, 510 nt
Filed under: uncultured bacterium
Lineage: Bacteria
Description: partial 16S ribosomal RNA
Rfam family: Bacterial small subunit ribosomal RNA
Source: RNAcentral